AAUGUUGUGUAAUGGUUUGAAGCAAGAAAAGAAGCUUAAACUAACUUACAACCUUACUCCUGAGACGAUUUCAAAUUGCUUUGAUGUUUGCGGCUUGAUGAACUUCCAUCUGUUUAUACUUCCAUGAUACAACUCAUUAUAUUUUCUAAACACCGUAUCGUAUUGAAAAUAAAGAAUA
This is a long non-coding RNA of Hydra vulgaris (swiftwater hydra), 178 nucleotides long. RefSeq lists it as uncharacterized. NCBI's taxonomy places the organism in Eukaryota, Metazoa, Cnidaria, Hydrozoa, Anthoathecata, Hydridae. The record is from RefSeq and is a predicted model, not a curated record.